UUUGCUGGUAACUACCUCUCUGCAACUCAACCAGGGUCACCCACUGAAGCUGAGCAGAGCUGCACCCGGUUAGUACCUCGAUGGGAGACCACAUGGGACAGCUAGGUUGCUGCCGAAG
RNAcentral lists this ribosomal RNA (118 nucleotides) under Danio rerio (zebrafish). Lineage: Eukaryota; Metazoa; Chordata; Actinopteri; Cypriniformes; Danionidae. The record is from RNAcentral.